Molecule: long non-coding RNA, 1126 nt
Organism: Chenopodium quinoa (quinoa)
Lineage: Eukaryota; Viridiplantae; Streptophyta; Magnoliopsida; Caryophyllales; Amaranthaceae
Exons: 4
Source: RefSeq, a predicted model, not a curated record
CAAAUAACUCUGUUGCACUUUAGGUUACCCAUUCUGCGCUUUUUUGACCUUAGCUUUUCACUUGCACUAAUUCACUAAACAGAGUUGCUUAAUUUCGACCCUUCAAUCCAACAAAUUCGCCCAAAAAACACCCACAAAUUCGCCCAAAAAACUGCAAUUCCCCAGCAAAUUCAACAUCCAAAAUCGCAAUCAAGUUCAACACCCAUAAUCGGCAGCAAAUCCGAGCAAUUUCGAGCAAAAAUUUAGACCAAAAACCCUAAUUAAUUCGAACCCUUAAACCCCAGAAAAAUUGAUUAUUUUCGACCAAAAAUCCCCCAUUUCGAGCAAAAAAUGUACUCAAUUCCAUACGAAUUCGAACCCUAGAAACCCCAAAAAAAUUCAAUUAAAAAUCCUGCUGAAAAAAUUCGAGCAAUAACUGAUAUUUUCGAGUGGAAAAAUCGCUUAAUUUCGCCCCCAAAAACCCGAGGAAGUUCAAGCAAAUUACAGCAAUGUUGAAUUUUUGAAUUUUCGAGUGGAAAAAUCGCUUAAUUUCGCCCCCAAAAAUCGAUUUCGGCUCGACAUUGUUGAAUUUUAGAAUCAAUUUCACCUAUGGAGUGCAGUCAACUUGACAUAGUUGUUCACCUGCAAAGCCUGCUUUUAUGCGAUCUGUUCUUCCACCCAGUGAAAUACUAUUGCACUGUUCAAAGCCUGGAUACAAUUUGCGGCAUCAUCAUAAUGGGCGAUGGGAAGCACGAAUUGGGCGCGUUAUAUGUACGAAAUACUUGAACAUCAUCAUAGCAGUGAAGAUCUUAUUCAGGAUUUUUCAAGAACUACACCGUACACCGAGGAGGAGAUAAAUGAGAUUCGAGAUAUUUGGGCAGAAUAUUUUAUAUGUAAUGUUGAACUUUAGAUUUACCACUUAGCGCAUGUUUGACUCUUGUUUUGGAUUAUAGGCUUGAAAUGAAGUAAUUUGGUUAAUUGGUGUUGGGAUGAUGAGUAUAAUGUCUAUGAUAUUGAGAUGUAAAUUAUUGGACAGGUUGUUAAUAUAAUGCCGUCAUUCCCAAUUUUAUGGGUAGGCCAAAUUACAAAGGAGACUCUGCCGAAAUUUACAUUUGCAUUAUUCAAUAAUAUUGCAUUUUAAUUUCAA